RNAcentral lists this ribosomal RNA (705 nucleotides) under uncultured Bacteroidales bacterium. RNAcentral's name for it is "bacterial SSU rRNA". It matches the Rfam family "Bacterial small subunit ribosomal RNA", at positions 73 to 773 of the family's 1533-position model. The record is from RNAcentral. Lineage: Bacteria; Pseudomonadati; Bacteroidota; Bacteroidia; Bacteroidales.
UAGCUUGCUAAGGCUGAUGGCGACCGGCGCACGGGUGAGUAACACGUAUCCAACCUGCCGUCUACUCUUGGCCAGCCUUCUGAAAGGAAGAUUAAUCCAGGAUGGCAUCAUGAGCUCACAUGUCCGCAUGAUUAAAGGUAUUUUCCGGUAGACGAUGGGGAUGCGUUCCAUUAGAUAGUAGGCGGGGUAACGGCCCACCUAGUCAACGAUGGAUAGGGGUUCUGAGAGGAAGGUCCCCCACAUUGGAACUGAGACACGGUCCAAACUCCUACGGGAGGCAGCAGUGAGGAAUAUUGGUCAAUGGGCGAUGGCCUGAACCAGCCAAGUAGCGUGAAGGAUGACUGCCCUAUGGGUUGUAAACUUCUUUUAUAAAGGAAUAAAGUCGGGUAUGCAUACCCGUUUGCAUGUACUUUAUGAAUAAGGAUCGGCUAACUCCGUGCCAGCAGCCGCGGUAAUACGGAGGAUCCGAGCGUUAUCCGGAUUUAUUGGGUUUAAAGGGAGCGUAGAUGGAUGUUUAAGUCAGUUGUGAAAGUUUGCGGCUCAACCGUAAAAUUGCAGUUGAUACUGGAUGUCUUGAGUGCAGUUGAGGCAGGCGGAAUUCGUGGUGUAGCGGUGAAAUGCUUAGAUAUCACGAAGAACUCCGAUUGCGAAGGCAGCCUGCUAAGCUGCAACUGACAUUGAGGCUCGAAAGUGUGGGUAUCAAAC